Zea mays is the source of this 1351-nucleotide long non-coding RNA. RefSeq lists it as uncharacterized. The transcript has 7 exons. Lineage: Eukaryota; Viridiplantae; Streptophyta; Magnoliopsida; Poales; Poaceae. The record is from RefSeq and is a predicted model, not a curated record.
UAUUCUCACGGGCUUCUCUCUCACAUCUCAUCAUGCCGCAUCGUCCCACGCGUCCCUCCGUCCGUGGUCUCACCGGCGACCCCCUCAGUGCAGCACCUUGCCCGGCCGGCUGCCCCUCCGCCAUGCCUUGGCCCCAUCGUCGCCCGAACCGCCACCGUGCCUUGGCCCCAGGAGCCGUCGUGCCCGUGUGCAGCUGUGCUCCUAGUCCGUCGUCGUGCCGCUGUGCCUGGCUCGCGCCUGCCUGUAUUCGCCAACCGCUACGGCGAGGACUAGUGGUUGCUUGAGAUCAGCGCCGGUGGCCUCGUGUGAAGGAUGUCGAUGCCAAAUGGAUUGGCUAGGCGGGCGCUAACCUACCAGACUGAUACACUAUUGCUCUUAUUAUUAGGCACUAGCAUAGCUAAAAUAAUUCUUUUGACCUUGACUUGCCUGGGUGCCUCUUCAAUCUUCAUGUUCAGAAUAGCACUUGUUGUUCAGAAUAGCUCAUCGUCACUAUGUUGUUUGGUUAAAUGUCUACAGGAUUUAGUGGUCAGGUAGAGUGAGUAGGAUUGUGCAAUUAUAUUGUAAGCAGUAACUGUCUAGCUGGUGGUGAGCAUCAUUGAAACUCUAUCCCUUCAGGAACGAUCGUGGAUGGGGGAUGCUGAACCUGGUAGCUGGCCUUCUAGAGAGCACAACUACAAUUAUCAGCGGCUCUAGGCAACCGUUUGUCAUGGAGACAGUGAAAGCUGACGAUGCUGCAAAACUGGGUUUGAUAUCAGGUAAACAUCUGCUAUUCGACACUUCUAUACAGGAAUUUACAUGGCGUCUGUUUUCCCAUAUUACUAUAUUGGUAAACUAAAGCUACAAAAAUGGAGGCAAGCAUAUUAACUCAUUUAAUGCCACGUUCAUAGGAGGUCUGCUUUUGGAAACAUCUUCAGUGCUAAUUUGAGACAAGCUCCUGCAAGGCAAGCUGCACUGGGCACAGGGAUACCAAACACUGCUGUUUGUGCUUUUUAUGAUUGAGGAAUACUUGAAGAAGCGUACUUGUGGUCUUUAUCUUGUGCUGAGAUGCAUGUUUUUUACCUACCGAACAUUAGACCCCUCCAGCUACCUUGCUGACACAUGAACGAGAAGACGGGUUAGACUUUGUCGAAACCCUCUUCGCUAGUGGAGGUAUCGACCAUCACUCGUCACUGUACCCCGAUGGUGAUCGACGAUCGUGAGCUUCCAUAUUAUGUGUUGUGAUACUUGAGACUUUUAUUAUGACUAUGUAUGAGAUAUUGUCUCUUAUUAGUACAGGAUGAGAUGUGUGUUAUUAUGACUAUGGAUGAGACUUUUGUGAUGUAAUUGACGAGACUAUGGAUUUAAAUAUUGU